Molecule: long non-coding RNA, 412 nt
Filed under: Homo sapiens (human)
Lineage: Eukaryota; Metazoa; Chordata; Mammalia; Primates; Hominidae
Description: HSALNT0333936
Source: RNAcentral
GCCCCGCCCCUUCCUCUCCCGGACGCCCGCCUCUUAGUGUCGUCACAAACUCGUGACGUCCCCGCGUGACCUCACCGCUGCGGGGCGAUGGAGCGAAAAGUGAGGAAACUGAAGUCCCGGGAGAGACAGUGGCAAGGUCAAGUAGCAAAGUGCACUCAGCCCUCCCAGCAAGGAGUCUGCCACUCGCGCUUGAAGGACGUGUUUGAAGAGCUGCUUUCCCAGUGGGAUGCUGCCUUAAAGUCUUGAUUCCCUGGCACUCUUUCCUAUUACUACAUUUUAUCGGUGCUGUUUGUGUUAUGCAACGGUAGCAUCGUGUCUCCGGAAGAUAAAAAAGGUCUCGAUACAAACAUCCAUAACCUUCCACCCACUCCGUCAGGAACAACCCAAUCAAAAUAAAGUCAUGAGAAUUUAG